Bubalus bubalis (water buffalo) is the source of this 534-nucleotide long non-coding RNA. RefSeq lists it as uncharacterized. The record is from RefSeq and is a predicted model, not a curated record. Lineage: Eukaryota; Metazoa; Chordata; Mammalia; Artiodactyla; Bovidae. The transcript is spliced from 2 exons.
UGUUAUCUCCUAAGGUGGUCUGGUUAAUCCAGAUGCACAACUCACAUUAAAGGGAGGAGGCUCAAAUGGGCAGAGAACAUUUUCAUAUUUAAAUUUUUCUUGUCUUUCCAUAAAAUAUGAAUUGUAUUUCAUCAAAUGAAGUUUAAAGAGAUGGGAAAAAAAUCUAUGGUGACAUAGAUUAGAACAUCAAUUAUAGAACAUCAAUUACCCUUGGAGGCAGUGCUCUGGAGACUUGUUGAUUUCCCUACCUGUGCACUCCUUGACCUUUGGAGAGGAGGUCGAUGUGCAGAAAUACCUUGGACCUAAUCCUGGAAGACAUGGUGCUUUCAAAAAAUACAUCCUUGAAGAGCUUGGUCUCUGUAUCAUCACUCUCCUAACUUGAGGAGGGCUGGACAGGCUUUGUUUCCUAAAAUCAGAUUUUCAUCUGAAUUAUGUUUGUUCCUCCACUUAUGUGAUAAUCAGCUUGCGAGACAGCAAGACUGCCUGAGAUGUUGCAUCGUUUUUGACUUGAAUAAAGGAAACAAUCACUGUGAA